Molecule: transfer RNA, 87 nt
Filed under: Desulfobacter postgatei
Lineage: Bacteria; Pseudomonadati; Thermodesulfobacteriota; Desulfobacteria; Desulfobacterales; Desulfobacteraceae
Also listed under: 1 other name
Description: tRNA-Leu
Rfam family: tRNA
About the family: Transfer RNA (tRNA) molecules are approximately 80 nucleotides in length. Their secondary structure includes four short double-helical elements and three loops (D, anti-codon, and T loops).
Source: RNAcentral
GCCGGAGUGGUGGAAUUGGUAGACGCAGAGGACUCAAAAUCCUCCGGGCUUCGGCCCUUGUCGGUUCAAGUCCGACCUCCGGUACCA